UAUUAAUUAGUAAUGAUAUUUAGUAACAAGUGCUGCUAGUUUAUUAUAUUUAGCGGCAUUCACUAAUUUAUACUGCUAAUUUAUCCUAUUUUGCAACAUUAAUAGUAAAUUAUUGCUAAAUAAUUAAAUCUAGUGGCAAUUAUCAAGUAAUGCUGCUAAAUAUAUUAAUUUGCAUGAUUUAAAUAAAUAUUGCGGAACAAAUAUUGCGGCAUUUAGCAAUAAGUUCUGCUACUUUAUUACUUUUAAUGUCAUUUUUUAUAGAAUGUUGAAAACUUCGGUGACAUUCACUAAUUAUGCUGCUAAUUUAUUCUAUUUUGCAACAUUAAUAGUAAGUUGUUGCUAAAUUAUUAAAUCUAGAGGCACUUAUCAAAUAAUGCUGUUAAAUAUAUUAAUUAGCGUUAUUUAAAUAAAUGUUACGGAGUAAAUGCCGCUAAAUCAUGAAUUUGUAGUAGUGGAUAUAGCUAGCC
RNAcentral lists this long non-coding RNA (467 nucleotides) under Ananas comosus (pineapple). RNAcentral's name for it is "long non-coding RNA (ACOM_LNC043299)". Lineage: Eukaryota; Viridiplantae; Streptophyta; Magnoliopsida; Poales; Bromeliaceae. The record is from RNAcentral.